Rhopilema esculentum is the source of this 753-nucleotide long non-coding RNA. RefSeq lists it as uncharacterized. The record is from RefSeq and is a predicted model, not a curated record. NCBI's taxonomy places the organism in Eukaryota, Metazoa, Cnidaria, Scyphozoa, Rhizostomeae, Rhizostomatidae.
AAAAAUUGUCAAGAUGUCAAUUUCUUCCGAGUCGGAACCCUCGUCGAGUUGCAUAAACACUGGCGUAGCAUCUUGAAAUCUGAAUUUCCAAUGCCAUCUCUAAUGAGCGCUCAUUGGAGAUUUUUGCUCAAAAAUGAAGCGCUCAUUAGAGAGAAUACGUACACUAUCACACCGUUAUUGUGAGACGAACACGAAAACGAAAAAUGAAUAAAGAAUCUUGGUGCAUGGUAGAAGUUAAUGAAAAGCAAACAAUUGCACAUUCUCAGAAGAAGCAUUUUCAGGACUCCUCAGAAAGCAAUGUCUUUCGAGAUGCAGAGCCGUUGCAUCACAAAAUUCGCUUGGUAAAUUUCAAUGUAGCUAACAGAAUCAAGGAGAAAAGACAUUUCAAUGAAACAUAUGUUUCAGCAUGGAAGCCGUAAUCUGAGGUGAUGUUGAAGAAAAGAGGAACCUUGUCAACUCAUCGAACAGCAUUCUUUGAAAAAGUAAAAAUAAACAUUUCAUAAUCGUCUAGGAAUGAUGAUUUCUAAAACGUGUUAGAUAAUUAAACUAAUAAAGUUGCUUUUUUCUUGUUCAUUUUGUCACUAUUCUGAUAACGUCAAAAAUAGCAAGGUAAUGUCUUUGGUUGGCCUACAAUCCCAGGUAAAAGUAACUGAGACAUUUCAAAAAAGCUUAUGUUUUCGCUUCUCUUCGGAAAAUAGAUAUUGCAUGUUUUCGAAUCACAAAUAAUAGAGCUACUAAUCCAACAGUGAUCUG